RNAcentral lists this ribosomal RNA (460 nucleotides) under uncultured bacterium. Its description in RNAcentral is "partial 16S ribosomal RNA". It matches the Rfam family "Bacterial small subunit ribosomal RNA", at positions 338 to 795 of the family's 1533-position model. The record is from RNAcentral.
CCUACGGGGGGCAGCAGUGAGGAAUAUUCGUCAAUGGACGAGAGUCUGAACCAGCCACGCAGCGUGAAGGAUGACUGCCCUAUGGGUUGUAAACUUCUUUUAUAUGGGAAUAAAAUGUUCCACGUGUGGGAUUUUGUAUGUACCAUAUGAAUAAGGAUCGGCUAACUCCGUGCCAGCAGCCGCGGUAAUACGGAGGAUCCGAGCGUUAGCCGGAUUUAUUUGGUUUAAAGGAAGCGUAGGUGGAUUUUUAAGUCAGUUGUGAAAGUUUGCGGCUCAACCGUAAAAUUGCAGUUGAAACUGGCAGUCUUGAGUACAGUAGAGGUGGGCGGAAUUCGUGGUGUAGCGGUGAAAUGCUUAGAUAUCACGAAGAACUCCGAUUGCGAAGGCAGUUCACUGGACUGCAACUGACACUGAGGCUCGAAAGUGUGGGUAUCAAACAGGAUUAGAUACCCGGGUAGUC